UAACAAGGAUUCCCUUAGUAACGGCGAGUGAACCGGGAAGAGCUCAAAUUUGAAAUCUGGCGUCCUCCGGGCGUCCGAGUUGUAAUCUAUAGAAGCGUUUUCCGCGCCGGACCGUGUAUAAGUCUCCUGGAACGGAGUAUCAAAGAGGGUGACAAUCCCGUGCUUUACACGAUGACCGGUGCUAUGUGAUACGUUCUCUACGAGUCGAGUUGUUUGGGAAUGCAGCUCAAAACGGGUGGUAAACUCCAUCUAAAGCUAAAUAUUGGUGGGAGACCGAUAGCGAACAAGUACCGUGAGGGAAAGAUGAAAAGCACUUUGGAAAGAGAGUUAAACAGUAUGUGAAAUUGUUGAAAGGGAAACGAUUGAAGUCAGUCGUGUCCAUUGGGUUCAGCCGGUCCUGCCGGUCUACUCCCUUUGGACGGGUCAACAUCAGUUCUGACCGGCGGAUAAUGGCACGAGGAACGUGGCACCCUCCGGGGUGUGUUAUAGCCUCGCGUCGCAUACGCUGGUCGGGACUGAGGAACGCAGCUCGCCUUCAUGGCCGGGGUACGCCCACGUACG
RNAcentral lists this ribosomal RNA (561 nucleotides) under Kwoniella sp. K9. RNAcentral's name for it is "eukaryotic LSU rRNA". It matches the Rfam family "Eukaryotic large subunit ribosomal RNA", at positions 66 to 611 of the family's 3401-position model. Lineage: Eukaryota; Fungi; Basidiomycota; Tremellomycetes; Tremellales; Cryptococcaceae. The record is from RNAcentral.